GAUGAACGCUGGCGGCGUGCCUAAUACAUGCAAGUCGAGCGAACAGACGAGGAGCUUGCUCCUCUGACGUUAGCGGCGGACGGGUGAGUAACACGUGGAUAACCUACCUAUAAGACUGGGAUAACUUCGGGAAACCGGAGCUAAUACCGGAUAAUAUAUUUAACCGCAUGGUUCAAUAGUGAAAGACGGUUUUGCUUUCACUUAUAAAUGUAUCCGCGCCGCAUUAGCUAGUUGGUAAGGUAACGGCUUACCAAGGCAACGAUGCGUAGCCGACCUGAGAGGGUGUUCGGCCACACUGGAACUGAGACACGGUCCAGACUCCUACGGGAGGCAGCAGUAGGGAAUCUUCCGCAAUGGGCGAAAGCCUGACGGAGCAACGCCGCGUGAGUGAUGAAGGUCUUCGGAUCGUAAAACUCUGUUAUUAGGGAAGAACAAAUGUGUAAGUAACUAUGCACGUCUUGACGGUACCUAAUCAGAAAGCCACGGCUAACUACGUG
RNAcentral lists this ribosomal RNA (497 nucleotides) under uncultured bacterium. RNAcentral describes it as "partial 16S ribosomal RNA". It matches the Rfam family "Bacterial small subunit ribosomal RNA", at positions 28 to 507 of the family's 1533-position model. The record is from RNAcentral.